UGUGUAGGCGGUUCUUUAAGUUUGGUGUGAAAUCUCCCGGCUCAACUGGGAGGGAGCGCCGAAUACUAAGGGACUAGAGUACGGGAGAGGAAAGUGGAAUUCCUGGUGUAGCGGUGAAAUGCGUAGAUAUCAGGAGGAACACCGGUGGUGUAGACGGCUUUCUGGACCGUAACUGACGCUGAUACACGAAAGCGUGGGUAGCAAACAGGAUUAGAUACCCUGGUAGUCCACGCCCUAAACGAUGCAUAUUUGGUGUGGGCAGUUCAUUCUGUCCGUGCCGGAGCUAACGCGUUAAAUAUGCCGCCUGGGGAGUACAGUCGCAAGGCUGAA
Molecule: ribosomal RNA, 330 nt
Filed under: uncultured bacterium
Lineage: Bacteria
Description: bacterial SSU rRNA
Rfam family: Bacterial small subunit ribosomal RNA
Source: RNAcentral